ACCUGGCUAGCUCAGUCGGUAGAGCAUGAGAUUCUUCAUCUCAGGGUCGUGGGUUUGAGCCCUUCGUUGGGCG
Non-coding RNA from Danio rerio (zebrafish), 73 nucleotides. The record is from Rfam. Lineage: Eukaryota; Metazoa; Chordata; Actinopteri; Cypriniformes; Danionidae.